ACUACUUUUAUCUUAUGAUCGAAUGCCAAUUCUUCAAAAGGCAUCUUUCUUUCUAAACAAAAACAAAACUUUUCAUAGAUAUAAUAUAAUGAAAAGAGACUAAUGUUCAAAAUACGAGGAGACAUAAUGAUCAUGAAGAACACACUAAAAGUAGGGUCAGUGGGUGUAUCCUACUAUCUCAACUAGGUUGAGACAACCUUAGCACCCUCAUCAUUUUCCAUUACUAAAUAUAUCCAUAGAACAAAAUGUAAUAGUUCACUGAGUUUUAUUGCUAAUUAAACUUAAAUGUAAUUUAAGCUGGAGAAACAAAAGCCAUUCCAAUUGAGACAUAUGUCUUCCAUUGAAUAAUAAGCAAAGAGUUUGAAUUAUGGACACUAAGAGGAAGCAUGGAGCCGAGCAGAACCAAAGCAAUCCAACCACUCAAUCGCAAACCUAAUUUCAGACAAUAAGGCUUUGACUGCAUUUGACCAUCAUAUUUGGGCUUUUAAUGAAAACAAAGGACCUCUCAACACUUGGGAAAUAUUAUCGUGGAAUGGAGGUCUAAAAAUCUGAAAGUACAUUAAAGUAUCCGAAGAGCUUCCACCAACAUUUACUAGAGAUGGGGCAUUGAGAAAACAGAUGUUGCAAGUCUUCACCAUUGGCUAAGCAAAGAGAACAAAUACAUGGAGAUACAUGAUGAGCUUGAAGCUUGUGUUGCAUUGUGGAUGAGAGCUUGAACUAGUUCAGGGAGCCUAACAUCACAAUCCAAAUAAGAAUAUUAAUUCUUUUUGGACUGUUGUAUUUCCACAGGGAUUGGAAGAUGUCUUUAUCAAGUGAGGAUGAUGCGUUCGAACAUUUUGAUAAAGAUUUAAUCUUAGAACUCGAUGACACAGUUGUACAACCUAUAUAAUGGAUCCUGUUCAAAUAAGGUCGUCUUGAUAAAGACUUAACCAUGAACUUACUAGAGGAUUCCAAGGACGAAUGCCUUGAAUCGAGGGAUGAAGAGUCUUAAAUUACAUAGCAGCUGCUGGAAUUCUGAUAAUUUCUCAUCUUUUAGUUGUCUUCUAAGCAAAGUUCUUUGAGGAAGUCACCGGAUUCCAAUGGUCACUGAUGCUGCCAUUGGGGGCAGCACUGGAAAAGAUGAGGGAAGGUCAGCUCAAAAGGCUGGUCUGAACACCAUGGAUCAAACCAAAAGUAGAUAUUUUUUCCAUUCUCUAUCUUGAAGACUGCAAGAGAUUCGAAACGGUCGUAAAUCUUUUAAAUAUUAAUCCAUGGGCUCCGUAAACUCUACCAAACUUCCCAGAAGUGUGCCACUGAUGCAGAUCAACUCCAUAUUGCUGAUUCCUUUCCCUUCUUCUUGCAAAGCUUUUGUGGCUAGCUCUCAUCUCACAAGGUGAUUCAUCUUAGAACCUUUCUACCCUUCCCAGAUAAAAUUACUCAUUAUCCUUUCUAAUUCCGCUCUUACUGCUUAGUGAAUUUGGCAUUUGAAAAAUGCACAUGUAGUAUGUUGGGAGAUUCACCAAAACUGCAUUGCAAAGGGUUUAGCUGUCCUCCUUUAGACAGAUUGUAUCUCUUCCAUCUGUCAUGUUUCAAGGCACCCUGUCUAGUAUUGGUUGCCAAAAAAAUUGUUUUUCGGGUAAUCAGCUAGUAUGGCAGCCCCAAGUAUGUGAAAGACUGAUCCACCCUUGCAAUUAAUUCGAGAAGCUGUUAAUAGCAGAGUGUUUUCAUCAAUGUCUAUCCCAUACAAUGUCGAUUUCUCCCAGUUCACUUUCUGCCCCGAAUACCAUUCAAAAAAGCCAAUUGUUUUUAUGAGAUUAUCCAGUAUAGCUUGCAAAAUAAAUUAGGUCCCUUUCUUCUAUGCAGUACGAGGUCAAAAAAGCCAAUUGCUCUUUUGAAUUAGGUCCCUUUCUUCUAUAGAGUACAAGGUCGAGAAAUAAUCUUUGAUUGCUAGCUGAAUAUCUUCCUCGAAGGACAGGAGGACUUCUUUUUCUGCCUUUAUAUCAAAGAAUUCCAAUUCUGAAGUUAGGUCAUUCUCCUUUCUUUCCUUUCUAAUUUUUAGUCAGCCAACCAGGUUUUUCAUCUGUCUUUCACUUUACGCAGCUUUAGAUUUAUUACAAAAUCAGCCUAACCAGCAGAAUUAUCAUCUUCCAAGGUUUCUUUAAUUAUACCUGAGAAAGAAACAUUCAACAGCCAACUAUUGUAGAAUCUGAAUGGUGUGGGUGGGACCCCCAAAGACCUGCUCCUGCCUCUAAAAGCAGGAAAUGGUCUGGGAAUAGUCGGGCAUUCAUGUUAACAAUGGAAUUAUCAAAUAGUUCAAUCCAUUCUUUUACCCCUUUAUAUUGAAAAUUAUAAGUAAAACAAAAUUCCUUUAGAAAAAUAAAUACGUUGGGCCAUUCAUUCAACACCUGUAUCAUUAAUAGUUAAGAAACAGAGAAUCAUGGAAGCCUUCUUCCCCCAUUAAUCAUCUCUUUUCAAGUUUUUCUUAGCACUGUUAAUGAUGUGCUCGAAUGAACAUCAACACCCAGACGACGAGAAAAGGAAACUAAGAAAGUUGAGCUACUGAUAAAUACAAAGAGGAAGUUGAUCAAUCCUUUAGAGGCUCCCAUCUAUCCCUCACUCGUCAACUCCUUCCCAAGAAAAUUUAUCACAGUUUUGUGAUUCUCAAGGCUCUUACUAGAUAGGAAUUCUAAACUCACACAGGCUCUUUUAUAGGGAAAUUUUAGAAAAAUGAUGAAAUAUACAACAGGAAAACUCCAAGACAAAGUAAUAACCAACCACCUUCUAAUUUUCACAUAUCAGGUAGAGUAGUAAUACAAAAAGAAGUGAGUAGGCACUUCAAAAAAAAAAGAAA
Cucumis melo (muskmelon) is the source of this 2830-nucleotide long non-coding RNA. RefSeq lists it as uncharacterized. The transcript is spliced from 2 exons. The record is from RefSeq and is a predicted model, not a curated record. NCBI's taxonomy places the organism in Eukaryota, Viridiplantae, Streptophyta, Magnoliopsida, Cucurbitales, Cucurbitaceae.